RNAcentral lists this ribosomal RNA (700 nucleotides) under uncultured bacterium. RNAcentral describes it as "bacterial SSU rRNA". It matches the Rfam family "Bacterial small subunit ribosomal RNA", at positions 143 to 845 of the family's 1533-position model. The record is from RNAcentral.
AUAGCCCAUGGAAACGUGGAUUAAUCCCCCAUACCAUUAAUAUGUGGCAUCUUAUAUUAAUGAAAUCUUCGGAGGUAUCAGAUGGGCAUGCGUCCUAUUAGCUAGUUGGCGGGGUAACGGCCCACCAAGGCGAUGAUAGGUAGGGGUUCUGAGAGGAAGGUCCCCCACAUUGGAACUGAGGCACGGUCCAAACUCCUACGGGAGGCAGCAGUGAGGAAUAUUGGUCAAUGGCCGGAAGGCUGAACCAGCCAAGUCGCGUGAGGGACGACUGCCCUAUGGGUUGUAAACCUCUUUUAUAAGGGAAGAAUAAAUGCUACGUGUAGCAUGAUGCCUGUACCUUAUGAAUAAGCAUCGGCUAACUCCGUGCCAGCAGCCGCGGUAAUACGGAGGAUGCGAGCGUUAUCCGGAUUUAUUGGGUUUAAAGGGUGCGUAGGCGGUUUUUUAAGUUAGUGGUUAAACGUCGGGGCUUCACCUUGAUUUGCCAUUAAUACUGUAAGACUCGAGUUCAGACGAGGUAGGCGGAAUAAGUUAAGUAGCGGUGAAAUGCUUAGAUAUAACUUAGAACUCCGAUAGCGAAGGCAGCUUACCAGACUGCGACUGACGCUGAAGCACGAGAGCGUGGGUAGCGAACAGGAUUAGAUACCCUGGUAGUCCACGCCGUAAACGAUACUCACUGGUUCUGUGCGACAUACCGUACGGG